ACAUUGUGCUUGCACAGAUGACGACCGGCGCACGGGUGCGUAACGCGUAUAGAACCUACCUUUUACAGAGGAAUAGCCUUUAGAAAUGAAGAUUAAUGCCUCAUAGUAUUGUAGACUGGCAUCAGUUUAUAAUUAAAGAUUUAUCGGUAAAAGAUGGCUAUGCGUCCUAUUAGUUAGUUGGUAAGGUAACGGCUUACCAAGACAGCGAUAGGUAGGGGUCCUGAGAGGGAGAUCCCCCACACUGGUACUGAGACACGGACCAGACUCCUACGGGAGGCAGCAGUGAGGAAUAUUGGACAAUGGAGGAGACUCUGAUCCAGCCAUGCCGCGUGUAGGAAGAAUGCCCUAUGGGUUGUAAACUACUUUUAUACAGGAAGAAACACUGGUAUGUAUACCAGCUUGACGGUACUGUAAGAAUAAGGACCGGCUAACUCCGUGCCAGCAGCCGCGGUAAUACGGAGGGUCCGAGCGUUAUCCGGAAUCAUUGGGUUUAAAGGGUCCGCAGGCGGUCUAUUAAGUCAGAGGUGAAAUCCCAUAGCUCAACUAUGGAACUGCCUUUGAUACUGGUUGACUUGAGUCAUAUGGAAGUAGAUAGAAUGUGUAGUGUAGCGGUGAAAUGCAUAGAUAUUACACAGAAUACCGAUUGCGAAGGCAGUCUACUACGUAUGUACUGACGCUGAGG
RNAcentral lists this ribosomal RNA (682 nucleotides) under uncultured bacterium. Its description in RNAcentral is "bacterial SSU rRNA". It matches the Rfam family "Bacterial small subunit ribosomal RNA", at positions 71 to 751 of the family's 1533-position model. The record is from RNAcentral.